This 460-nucleotide ribosomal RNA is filed under the name uncultured bacterium. RNAcentral's name for it is "partial 16S ribosomal RNA". It matches the Rfam family "Bacterial small subunit ribosomal RNA", at positions 338 to 795 of the family's 1533-position model. The record is from RNAcentral.
CCUACGGGUGGCUGCAGUGAGGAAUAUUGGUCAAUGGGCGGAAGCCUGAACCAGCCAAGUCGCGUGAGGGAUGAAGGUUCUAUGGAUCGUAAAACGCAGUUAUAAGGGAAAAAAGUGUGGGACGUGUCCUAUUUUGUAUGUACCUUAUGAAUAAGGAACGGGUAACUCCGUGCCAGCAGCCGCGGUAAUACGGAGGAUCCGAGCGUUAUCCGGAUUUAUUGGGUUUAAAGGGUGCGUAGGCGGCCUGUUAAGUCAGCGGUGAAAGUCUGUGGCUGAACCCUAGAAUUGCCGUUGAAACUGGGGGGCUUGAGUAUGUUUGAGGCAGGCGGACUGCGUGGUGUAGCGGUGAAAUGCUUAGAUAUCACGCAGAACCCCGAUUGCGAAGGCAGCCUGCCAAGCCAUGACUGACGCUGAUGCACGAAAGCGUGGGGAUCAAACAGGAUUAGAUACCCGGGUAGUC